This 119-nucleotide ribosomal RNA is filed under the name Erinaceus europaeus (western European hedgehog). The record is from RNAcentral. Lineage: Eukaryota; Metazoa; Chordata; Mammalia; Eulipotyphla; Erinaceidae.
GUCUAUGGUUAUACCACCCUCAACUCACCUAAUUUUUUCUCAUCUUAGAAGUAAGCAGAGUCAGGCCUUGUUAGUAAUUGGAUGGGAGAUCUAAUGCUUAUUGACAGAAACUCCAAAAG